GAGCCCGACUGGAGUAAUGAGAACUGCUAAUUCCUCACCCCCAUGGUUCAAUUCCAUGGCCCGCUCG
This 67-nucleotide transfer RNA is filed under the name Pelophylax nigromaculatus (dark-spotted frog). RNAcentral describes it as "tRNA-Ser". The record is from RNAcentral. Lineage: Eukaryota; Metazoa; Chordata; Amphibia; Anura; Ranidae.